GAUGAAGAACGUAGCGAAAUGCGAUAAGUAAUGUGAAUUGCUGAAUUCAGUGAAUCAUCGAAUCUUUGAACGCACAUUGCGCCCCUUGGUAUUCCGAGGGGCAUGCCUGUUCGAGCGUCAUUAUAACCCCUCAAGCUCAGCUUGGUGUUGGGGCCUGCUGCACUGGCAGCCCUUAAAAUCAGUGGCGGCGCCAUCUGGCUCUAAGCGUAGUAAUUCUUCUCGCUAUGGAGUCCUGGUGGAUGCUUGCCAUCAACCCCCAAUUUUUCUAUGGUUGACCUCGGAUCAGGUAGGGAUACCCGCUGAACUUAAGCAUAUCAAUAAGCGGAGGA
This 329-nucleotide unclassified non-coding RNA is filed under the name soil metagenome. Its description in RNAcentral is "partial contains 5.8S ribosomal RNA, internal transcribed spacer 2, and large subunit ribosomal RNA". The stretch from base 1 to 120 matches the Rfam family "5.8S ribosomal RNA", at positions 35 to 154 of the family's 154-position model. The record is from RNAcentral.